Molecule: ribosomal RNA, 796 nt
Filed under: uncultured Glomus
Lineage: Eukaryota; Fungi; Glomeromycota; Glomeromycetes; Glomerales; Glomeraceae
Description: SSU rRNA
Rfam family: Eukaryotic small subunit ribosomal RNA
Source: RNAcentral
CAACUUUCGAUGGUAGGAUAGAGGCCUACCAUGGNGNUAACGGGUAACGGGGUGUUAGGGCACGACACCGGAGAGGGAGCCUGAGAAACGGCUACCACAUCCAAGGAUGGCAGCAGGCGCGCAAAUUACCCAAUCCCGACACGGGGAGGUAGUGACAAUAAAUAACAAUACGGGGUUCUUUCGGAUUUCGUAAUUGGAAUGAGUACAAUUUAAAUCUCUUAACGAGGAACAAUUGGAGGGCAAGCCUGGUGCCAGCAGCCGCGGUAAUUCCAGCUCCAAUAGCGUAUAUUAAAGUUGCUGCAGUUAAAAAGCUCGUAGUUGAAUUUCGGGACCAAUAUGUCGGUCGUGCCUCGGUACGUACUGGCAUCGUUGGUUUCUCCCUUCUGACGAACCAUGAUGUCAUUUAUUUGGUGUCGUGGGGAAUCAGGACUGUUACUUUGAAAAAAUUAGAGUGUUUAAAGCAGGCUCACGCUUGAAUACAUUAGCAUGGAAUAAUGAAAUAGGACGUUUGAUUCUAUUUUGUUGGUUUCUAGGAUCGACGUAAUGAUUAGUAGGGAUAGUUGGGGGCAUUAGUAUUCAAUUGUCAGAGGUGAAAUUCUUGGAUUUAUUGAAGACUAACUACUGCGAAAGCAUUUGCCAAGGAUGUUUUCAUUAAUCAAGAACGAAAGUUAGGGGAUCGAAGACGAUCAGAUACCGUCGUAGUCUUAACCAUAAACUAUGCCGACUAGGGAUCGGAUGAUGUUAAUUUUUUAAUGACUCAUUCGGCGCUUUACGGGAAACCAAAGUGUUUGGGUUC